UUUAUGGAGAGUUUGAUCCUGGCUCAGGACGAACGCUGGCGGCGUGCCUAAUACAUGCAAGUCGAGCGGACUAAUGGGAGCUUG
This 84-nucleotide ribosomal RNA is filed under the name Halalkalibacter suaedae. RNAcentral's name for it is "Bacillus suaedae Bacterial small subunit ribosomal RNA". It matches the Rfam family "Bacterial small subunit ribosomal RNA", at positions 1 to 82 of the family's 1533-position model. The record is from Rfam by way of RNAcentral. Lineage: Bacteria; Bacillati; Bacillota; Bacilli; Caryophanales; Bacillaceae.